RNAcentral lists this non-coding RNA (30 nucleotides) under Rattus norvegicus (Norway rat). The record is from RNAcentral. Lineage: Eukaryota; Metazoa; Chordata; Mammalia; Rodentia; Muridae.
UAAUUGUGGAAGUAAGAUGCUGUUCAGGUU